CCUACGGGGGGCAGCAGUGGGGAAUUUUGGACAAUGGGGGCAACCCUGAUCCAGCCAUGCCGCGUGCGGGAAGAAGGCCUUCGGGUUGUAAACCGCUUUUGUCAGGGAAGAAAUCUUCUGAGUUAACACCUCGGGAGGAUGACGGUACCUGAAGAAUAAGCACCGGCUAACUACGUGCCAGCAGCCGCGGUAAUACGUAGGGUGCAAGCGUUAAUCGGAAUUACUGGGCGUAAAGCGUGCGCAGGCGGUUGUGCAAGACAGGUGUGAAAUCCCCGGGCUUAACCUGGGAACCGCACUUGUGACUGCACGACUAGAGUACGGCAGAGGGGGAUGGAAUUCCGCGUGUAGCAGUGAAAUGCGUAGAUAUGCGGAGGAACACCGAUGGCGAAGGCAGUCCCCUGGGCCUGUACUGACGCUCAUGCACGAAAGCGUGGGGAGCAAACAGGAUUAGAUACCCCGGUAGUC
Molecule: ribosomal RNA, 465 nt
Filed under: uncultured Comamonadaceae bacterium
Lineage: Bacteria; Pseudomonadati; Pseudomonadota; Betaproteobacteria; Burkholderiales; Comamonadaceae
Description: bacterial SSU rRNA
Rfam family: Bacterial small subunit ribosomal RNA
Source: RNAcentral